ACGGCUAAUUACGUGCCAGCAGCCGCGGUAAUACGUAGGUCCCGAGCGUUUUCCGGAUUUAUUGGGCGUAAAGCGAGCGCAGGCGGUUUGAUAAGUCUGAAGUUAAAGGCUGUGGUUCAACCAUAGUUCGCUUUGGAAACUGUCAAACUUGAGUGCAGAAGGGGAGAGUGGAAUUCCAUGUGUAGCGGUGAAAUGCGUAGAUAUAUGGAGGAACACCGGUGGCGAAAGCGGCUCUCUGGUCUGUAACUGACGCUGAGGCUCGAAAGCGUGGGGAGCGAACAGGAUUAGAUACCCUGGUAGUCCACGCCGUAAACGAUGAGUGCUAGGUGUUGGAUCCUUUCCGGGAUUCAGUGCCGCAGCUAACGCAUUAAGCACUCCGCCUGGGGAGUACGACCGCAAGGUUGAAACUCAAAGGAAUUGACGGGGGCCCGCACAAGCGGUGGAGCAUGUGGUUUAAUUCGAAGCAACGCGAAGAACCUUACCAGGUCUUGACAUCCCGAUGCUAUUUCUAGAGAUAGAAAGUUACUUCGGUACAUCGGUGACAGGUGGUGCAUGGUUGUCGUCAGCUCGUGUCGUGAGAUGUU
This 584-nucleotide ribosomal RNA is filed under the name Streptococcus thermophilus. RNAcentral describes it as "bacterial SSU rRNA". It matches the Rfam family "Bacterial small subunit ribosomal RNA", at positions 493 to 1076 of the family's 1533-position model. Lineage: Bacteria; Bacillati; Bacillota; Bacilli; Lactobacillales; Streptococcaceae. The record is from RNAcentral.